This 200-nucleotide ribosomal RNA is filed under the name uncultured bacterium. RNAcentral's name for it is "partial 16S ribosomal RNA". It matches the Rfam family "Bacterial small subunit ribosomal RNA", at positions 29 to 254 of the family's 1533-position model. The record is from RNAcentral.
AACGAACGCUGGCGGCAGGCCUAACACAUGCAAGUCGAACGCCCUGGCAACAGGGAGUGGCAGACGGGUGAGUAACGCGUGGGAAUCUACCUUGUGGUACGGAACAACCAAGGGAAACUUUGGCUAAUACCGUAUGAGCCCUUCGGGGAAGGAGUUAUCGCCAUAAGAAUGAGCCCGCCGUAGGAGUUAGCUAGUUGGUG